GCAUUGUUCGUUCAGUGGUAGAAUUCUCGUCUGCCACGCGGGAGACCCGGCUCCGAUUCCCGGCCAAUGCA
Non-coding RNA from Danio rerio (zebrafish), 71 nucleotides. The record is from Rfam. Lineage: Eukaryota; Metazoa; Chordata; Actinopteri; Cypriniformes; Danionidae.